This is a non-coding RNA of Ictidomys tridecemlineatus (thirteen-lined ground squirrel), 3773 nucleotides long. The record is from RefSeq and is a predicted model, not a curated record. Lineage: Eukaryota; Metazoa; Chordata; Mammalia; Rodentia; Sciuridae.
CUGCUCAUGGGGGGCAGGACCACAGGGGCCCACUGAGACCACUCCAGACCCAGGAGGGGAAUGGGCGUGUGUACAGCUCACCCUGCGACCAGGCCUGCAGUGGGGGGUGGAAGGGGACCCAGAGCUCUGGGUCUGACGUGACUGUGUGCCUUGUUUCUUUGCAGGUUGUUCAUUUAGAAAGUGGAUGUGUGGGAUAACAUGUCCAGUGUGUCCGAGGAGAGAAGGAAAAGGCAGCAGAACAUUAAGGAGGGACUGCAGUUCAUACAGUCGCCGCUGUCAUACCCAGGAACCCAGGAACAAUAUGCGGUGUAUUUGCGAGCUCUCGUGAGAAACCUUUUUAAUGAAGGAAAUGACGUUUAUCGGGAACGUGACUGGAACAGCUCGAUAAGCCAGUACACGGAAGCUUUGAACAUAGCUGACUAUGCAAAGUCUGAAGAAAUUUUAAUCCCUAAAGAGAUCAUUGAGAAACUGCAUAUAAAUCGUAUUGCCUGCUAUUCUAACAUGGGUUUUCAUGAUAAGGUGUUAGAAGACUGUAGUGCUGUGCUCACCCUCAAUGCCAACAGCUGCAAAGCUCUGUAUCGGAAGGCUAAGGCUCUGAGUGACUUAGGAAGGUACAAGGAGGCCUACGACGCUGUGGCCAAGUGCUCCCUGGCAGUGCCUCAGGAUGAACAUGUAAUAAAACUGACUCAGGAGCUAGCUCAGAAAUUGGGAUUUAAAAUAAGGAAAGCGUAUGUUAGAGCCGAGCUCUCAUUGAAAUCCGUUCCUGGGGACGGGGCAACCAAGGCUGUGAACUAUUCUGUGGAAGAUAUUGAGCCAGAUCUGGUGGCUCCGAGGCAAGGAGCACUGCCCGCUGUUUCCCUACCUGCGCCCGGUUUUUCUCACGACGUAGGAAGUGAGCUGGCCUCGGUUUCUGUCACGCCCCUAGCUUCUGUUUUGUCCCUGCAAGUGGAAGAGAACACUCUGCCCUCCUCAGUAUUGGCAAAUGGAGGGAAGAUGCCUUUCACGAUGCCCGAGGCUUUUCUGGAUGAUGGAGACAUGGUCCUUGGAGAUGAGAUCGAUGACUUGCUUGAUUCUGCCCCAGAAACUAACGACACUGUUAUGCCCUCGGCCUUGGUCAGAGGACCGCUCCCGGCAGCCAGCCUCGCCCCCAGCUUGCCCUUCCCGGCAUCUCUGCUGGGGACCUUGCCCGUGGGUGCGAGGUAUACGCCUCCACCCUCCUUUGCAGAUUUGUAUCCACCUUUGACCUCAUCCUUAGAAGAUUUUUGUUCUUCUUUAAAUUCAUUUUCAAUAAGUGAAUCCAAACGAGAUCUGCCCACCUCAACUUCUAGAGAGGGAACCACGCUUAACAACAGUAAUUCUUCCCUUUCACUUAUGAAUGGACCAAGUAGUUUAUUUGCUUCCGAGAGUUUCCCGGGAAUUUCGAGUCAGCCUAGAAAUGACUUUGGAAACUUUUUUGGAAGUGCGAUUGUGAAGCCGUCAGCAGUGGUACCAAGACAUCCCCUGGAGGGGACCCACGAGCUGAGACAAGCUUGCCAGAUCUGUUUUGUAAAAUCAGGCCCUAAGUUAAUGGAUUUCACUUACCAUGCUAAUAUAGAUCAUAAAUGUAAGAAAGAUAUUUUAAUUGGUAGGAUAAAGAAUGUUGAAGAUAAAUCAUGGAAAAAAAUUCGUCCAAGACCAACAAAAACAAAUUAUGAAGGACCAUAUUAUAUAUGUAAAGAUGUGGCUGCGGAGGAGGAAUGUAGAUACUCAGGCCACUGCACGUUUGCCUACUGCCAAGAAGAGAUAGACGUCUGGACCUUGGAGAGGAAGGGGGCCUUCAGCCGGGAGGCUUUCUUUGGUGGCAAUGGGAAGAUCAGCCUCACGGUGUUCAAACUUCUGCAGGAGCAUCUUGGAGAAUUUAUAUUCCUUUGUGAGAAAUGUUUUGAUCAUAAACCUAGAAUGAUAAGUAAAAGAAAUAAAGAUAAUUCUACUGCUUGUUCUCACCCGGUUACAAAGCAUGAAUUUGAAGACAAUAAGUGCCUUGUCCACAUUUUGCGAGAGACCACGGUAAAGUACUCCAAGAUCCGAUCUUUCCACGGUCAGUGUCAGCUUGACCUGUGUCGACACGAGGUUCGCUACGGCUGCUUAAGGGAAGACGAGUGCUUCUAUGCCCACAGUCUUGUGGAACUGAAGGUCUGGAUCAUGCAGAAUGAAACAGGUAUUUCUCAUGAUGCUAUUGCUCAGGAGUCUAAACGGUAUUGGCGACAUUUGGAAGCAAGUGUACCUGGAGCCCAGGUAUUUGGCAAUCAGAUAAUGCCUGGAUCUCUUAAUAUGAGUAUAAAAUUUGUGUGUGCUCAGUGUCUGAGAAAUGGUCAAGUCAUUGAACCAGACAAAAACCGAAAAUAUUGUAGUGCAAAAGCUAGGCACUCGUGGACCAAGGAGCGCCGGGCCAUGAGAGCGAUGUCUUUUGAACCUGUGCAACCACAUUGCUUCUGGAAAGAAAUGCCAGUACGUUGGGAACUGCUCCUUUGCUCACAGUCCUGAGGAGCGAGAGGUGUGGACGUACAUGAAGGAGAACGGGAUACAAGAUAUGGAGCAGUUUUAUGAACUCUGGCUAAAGAGUCAAAAAAAUGAAAAAAGUGAUGAUGUAGCCAGUCAGUCAAACAAGGAAAAUGGAAAACAGAUCCACAUGCCGACAGAUUAUGCUGAGGUCACCGUGGACUUCCACUGCUGGAUGUGCGGGAAGAACUGUAACAGCGAGAAGCAGUGGCAGGGCCACAUCUCUUCAGAGAAGCACAAAGAGAAGGUCUUCCACACGGAAGACGACCAGUACUGCUGGCAGCACCGCUUCCCGACAGGCUGUUUUAGUGUUUGUGAGAGGUAUAUGAAUGGUUCCUGCACAGAAGGCAGCAGCUGUAAAUUUGCUCAUGGAAAUGCUGAACUUCAAGAGUGGGAAGAAAGAAGAAGCGCCCUCCAGAUGAAGCUCAACAAAGCAAGAAAAGAUCACUUAAUUGCCCCAAAUGAUAAUGACUUUGGAAAAUAUAGUUUUUUGUUUAAAGAUUUAAACUAAUAUGCUGGCUUUUAUGUAACCUAAUCAGAGCAUUGACCAGAAAAAUUGAAAGUGUUCUGAGGCACGUAGCAGAGGAGCUGCAGAUUUUCUGCUUGUAUUGGCGUGUAUCGUUCCUCCUGAGCAGCAACCCACAGUAGGUAGGAAAACGGGCUGUUUAACAGGUCCCGCCAGGCUCUCACGGAACCAUUGGCAUCAAAUGGCGAAGUGACUGCUACCCGGGUGCCCUCUGUUGAACAGACUUUUGGAUGAAGUGUGUUGGGAAGAGGAUAAGGUUAUGUCUAGGACGAUUCUUUGAGUUGGUCCUGCAGAUAAGAACCGUGACGGUAAGAGAAUAAACACUGGUACUGGGAUCAGAAUACAUGAUGAAUGAAGUUCUUUACAUGUUUUAGCGGAAUGAAUUUGUUUAAUAUAAUAAAGUUUGCUACUUAUCUGUAUGUAGGUUGCUAAAAAGGAUUUUCUUAACUCAGAUUUUAAGCCAAAUAACCAUUUAACACUAGUAUAUGUUAAAUGGGGUAUUUUUCUGUAUUUGUAUGUUUCACUAUAAUAAGGGAAGUGAGGAUAAUGUGCAUUGAGACUAUUUUGAAAAAUAAUCAGUUGAAUCAAAUUUUAUUUCUUGGUCUUUUGCUGUUUAAAUGAUGAUUUUGAAAGACUAAACUUGUACUGUUGGUAUCGUGUAGUGUAUGGACCAAUAUUGCCUGUAAUAAAAAAAUUUAUAUAUAGAUGA